ACAACAGCUGGAAACGGCUGCUAAUACCCCAUAGGCUGAGGAGCAAAUUGAGGAAUCCGCCCAAGGCAGGGGCUCGCGUCUGAUUAGUUAGUUGGUGAGGCAAUGGCUUACCAAGGCGACGAUCAGUAGCUGGUCCGAGAGGAUGAUCAGCCACACUGGGACUGAGACACGGCCCAGACUCCUACGGGAGGCAGCAGUGGGGAAUUUUCCGCAAUGGGCGAAAGCCUGACGGAGCAAUGCCGCGUGAAUGGUGUUUGGCCCACGGGUCAUGAACUUCUUUUCUCGGAGAAGAAAAAAUGACGGUUCUGAGGAAUAAGCAUCGGCUACCUCUGGGCCAGCAGCCGCGGAAGACAGAGGAUGCAAGCGUUAUCCGGAAUGAUUGGGCGUAAAGCGUCUGUAGGUGGCUUUUCAAGUCCGCCGUCAAAUCCCA
Molecule: ribosomal RNA, 430 nt
Filed under: uncultured organism
Description: bacterial SSU rRNA
Rfam family: Bacterial small subunit ribosomal RNA
Source: RNAcentral